GAUAAACGCUGGCGGUGCACAUAAGACAUGCAAGUCGAACGGACUUAACUCAUUCUUUUAGAUUGAGAGCGGUUAGUGGCGGACUGGUGAGUAACACGUAAGCAACCUGCCUAUCAGAGGGGAAUAACAGUGAGAAAUCAUUGCUAAUACCGCAUAAGCUAGUAGCAUCGCAUGAUGUAGCUAGAAAAGGAGUAAUCCGCUGAUAGAUGGGCUUGCGUCUGAUUAGCUAGUUGGUGGGGCAACGGCCUACCAAGGCGACGAUCAGUAGCCGGACUUGGAGGUUGAACGGCCACAUUGGGACUGGGAUACGGCCCAGACUCCUACGGGAGGCAGCAGUCGGGAAUAUUGCGCAAUGGAGGAAACUUUGACGCAGUGACGCCGCGUAUAGGAAGAAGGUUUUCGGAUUGUAAACUAUUGUCGUGAGGGAAGAAAUUGACAGUACCUCAGGAGGAAGCUCCGGCUAACUAUGUGCCAGCAGCCGCCGUAA
RNAcentral lists this ribosomal RNA (487 nucleotides) under uncultured bacterium. RNAcentral's name for it is "partial 16S ribosomal RNA". It matches the Rfam family "Bacterial small subunit ribosomal RNA", at positions 28 to 523 of the family's 1533-position model. The record is from RNAcentral.